Molecule: ribosomal RNA, 478 nt
Filed under: uncultured bacterium
Lineage: Bacteria
Description: partial 16S ribosomal RNA
Rfam family: Bacterial small subunit ribosomal RNA
Source: RNAcentral
GACGAACGCUGGCGGCGUGCUUAACACAUGCAAGUCGAACGGUAAGGCCCUUCGGGGUACACGAGUGGCGAACGGGUGAGUGACACGUGGGUGAUCUGCCCUGCACUUCGGGAUAAGCCUGGGAAACUGGGUCUAAUACCGGAUAGGACCACUGCCUGCAUGGGUGGUGGUGGAAAGCUUUUGCGGUGUGGGAUGGGCCCGCGGCCUAUCAGCUUGUUGGUGGGGUGAUGGCCUACCAAGGCGACGACGGGUAGCCGGCCUGAGAGGGUGAUCGGCCACACUGGGACUGAGAUACGGCCCAGACUCCUACGGGAGGCAGCAGUGGGGAAUAUUGCACAAUGGGCGCAAGCCUGAUGCAGCGACGCCGCGUGAGGGAUGACGGCCUUCGGGUUGUAAACCUCUUUCAGCAUCGACGAAGCGAAAGUGACGGUAGGUGCAGAAGAAGGACCGGCCAACUACGUGCCAGCAGCCGCAGUAA